This 2650-nucleotide unclassified non-coding RNA is filed under the name Hevea brasiliensis (rubber tree). The record is from RNAcentral. Lineage: Eukaryota; Viridiplantae; Streptophyta; Magnoliopsida; Malpighiales; Euphorbiaceae.
AAAAAAAAAAAAAAAAAAAUCAGAUUUGGAAAGGUUCCAACAGAUUUGGAGCUAGCAGUUGAAUUGGAGCAGUUUGAGGUAGGAUUUUAGAUUACUAGACAAAUGGUGGAAUUUUGAUUUGAAAUUUAAUAUGGGUCUAUUUGGGAUGUAUCUAAGGUGAUUCUAAAGUUAGAACAAAUUCUGGGCAGAUUUGAUAGGGGUUCACUAAAACAACACAUAAAUACAAUUUAAGGAAAAGUAGGGUUUGGACUCUGAAGGUCAUGUUUCCAGAAGCUAAAACAAGCCAUUUUGAGUGUUUUAAGUUUAGUUUUCAUGAAAAUAAUGAUUAGAAAAAGAUCUAGGUAAAAUGGAAAAGUUUGGUGUUUUCAGACUAAGUCAAAUGGAAUGGUUAAGAAAGAAUUAUAAAAUCUGAUGGAAAGAAAGUUAGAAUAAUUAGGAAAAAAAAAGAAAAAAACUUGAAGUCUCCUUGGAAAUGUAUGCAUGCCACCAAGAACACAAGAAUCUUGAUCUCCAAUUUUUGAUAAGCAAAGCUCCACAAAGAAAGAAGAACCAUGCAAAUCGCUACACUAGAAAGUGAUAAGACUUGAUCAUACACCAUUCUGUGAAGAGAUAAGAUGUAGAAGAAAACAAGUUUAAAGUUCAGAUUUUAGUAAUCUCAAAAAAUCUACAAUGUUUAUAUAAAGUGGCCUAUUUAUAGGCAUUACAAGAAAACCAACUCCUAAUAGGAAAACUAAUUAAAAUAGGAAGUCAAAAAGUAAAUAGGAAAUCAUAAGCUAAUUAAAAGACAUAAAGUAAAUAGGAGAAUAUAAUCUUGAUCAGAUUCUUCUUGAUUUGGUGCCACCUUAGGUUGAAAAAUCAACUCCUUACGCAGCUUGGAUAAAUUUCUCUCUUUAGCUUUGACUCUCCAACUUGCAUAAGAAUGCUACACGCCACCUUGGUCCCACACUCCUCCCACAUGCCACUUAUGGUGGUCCUUCAUGUAUUGGAACCUUCUUCCCAUUUGAUUAGAGUUGACAAUUUUGCCCUUGACGUGGUCAUGGGCCCAACAUACACGGCUUGAAUCAAGGCCUACAUUCUCUUCAUUGUCAUUCCCAUGAUGCACAUCAAAUAAUCAGUAUUUCAACUAACCUCAACUAGUUUGGAAUUAGAAUUUUGCAGAGUUUGGCUGAAGAAUUGAAGAAAGGAGAUAUUCAUGUAGAAGUGGUGAUUUGUAGGAACUUCAGGUCACUGUCCGAAAAAAGAACAACGGUUUAAUAUUCAAGGAUAAAACGUUAUUAAGAGUUUCAGUGUUAUGGGGCUGCAUGGUUUCUCAAAAUUUUUUUCUAUGGCAUAAAAAUACAGAAUUUACUUUUAAACAAAUAUUCAUAAUCCCUGAAUAAUUCCACCAACAGAGGUUUCAUGAAAAACUCAAUGAAAAUAGCUUAUGGUGUUAGUGGAGUUUUUUCCCCCUUCAAAUUUGUAAUUACAAUGUGAUCCGUUUUUGGUGAUGCAGAAACUUGAUUUUAGUUGGGUCAGUUUUGACUACAUGUCGACACUUCAUGUGUUAAAUAUGGGAACUGAUUAAUCUCCUGAAAUGAUAAGCUUUAGUGUGUGCUCAAUAGAGUUGUGAUCUUAAAGAUACAGAAACUUUUUCAAUAUUGGUUUUGUUGAAGUGUGCCAACUUCUAUCCUAAAGCCAAUUUUGUUGCUUUAAAACAGUGGUCUGGUGGUGUAGCAGAGAGAUGGCAAAUUUUGUAGAUUCAAUGACCAUAAAUAUUAAUAAUAAGGGUGCACUCCAAAUACCUUGUCUUUGAUGGACUGCUAUGAACUAUGCAGCUAAUAUUAAAUAAUUGCUAUAAAAUGUUAAAAUAAGAUUACAGAAAGAACAUUGAGAGAGGAAGUGCUCCCAUAGUGUGAGGAGAGCCCUGUGGUCUAACCUUGACAUUUCUACUGUACAGAAUAACCUUGUUGAGCUUAGUGUAUCAAAUGUGUAUUCAAAUGUCGAGACCAUUUAAUGGGCUGGGCCAAAUUUGUGUUUGAAUCCCUUUUCCUGGUUCCAUGCAAGCCUGGUCUGCUUGAAGGUUCGGUCCGUGCUCUUUAACCAAAUCUUGCCCAAGCAAAUAAAAGCGUGUGUAUUUUACAGCUUGCUUGUUUCCGGUCAGGUUGGUUCUUGAGGGAUUAUCAAUCCAAUGCCUAGCCUGCUUUAUUGUGGGCCUUAGUGAAGUUGGGACCAGUAGGGCCCAAGUGCAAAACCUUAGCACAUGAUUGGCAAUUUUGUGGGCCAGGUGUCUCUCCAGCCUGUGACAGGUCUACCAAAUGCCAGUUUUUGUAUAAUUUUAGCAUGUGCAAUAUUUUAUGCUAUUUUAUAAUAUCUCCAACUUCUUUGUGUGAGAUUGAAUGAAAAUAUGGACCCAUAUUUUUAAAGCAGAUGCUAUAGAUGCUAAUUUAUAACCUACUAUUUUCUUUAUGUAGAUAGCAUAUAUUGGCCAGUGUUUAUUGUUGCAACUGCAGCUGCUAUAGUUGCAAGUCAAGCUACAAUAUCUGCAACUUUUUCAAUAAUCAAGCAGGCUCAUGCGCAUGGUUGUUUCCCUAGGGUCAAAGUUGUACAUACAUCAAAGAAGUUCCUUGGUCAGAUAUAUGUUCCUGAUAUAAAUUGGAUUCUUAUGAUUCUU